RNAcentral lists this long non-coding RNA (157 nucleotides) under Ictidomys tridecemlineatus (thirteen-lined ground squirrel). RNAcentral describes it as "lncRNA (ENSSTOG00000034427.1)". Lineage: Eukaryota; Metazoa; Chordata; Mammalia; Rodentia; Sciuridae. The record is from RNAcentral.
AGUCAGGCACACAGGUGGUGGUGCUGUGUGUUUCCUAUCCUCCCCUGACAUGAUUUCAAAGCCCAGAAAAACCAGAAGGCCUAGAGGAAUAAUCAGCCGUCAGAGAAUGGAGUGGAGAAAGACAAAGGUGAAUGCUGAGUGGCGAAUGACCACUUAG